GCAAAACGCGAAGAACCUUACCUACUCUUGACAUCCACGGAACUUUUCAGAGAUGAAUUGGUGCCUUCGGGAACCGUGAGACAGGUGCUGCAUGGCUGUCGUCAGCUCGUGUUGUGAAAUGUUGGGUUAAGUCCCGCAACGAGCGCAACCCUUAUCCUUUGUUGCCAGCGGUUAGGCCGGGAACUCAAAGGAGACUGCCAGUGAUAAACUGGAGGAAGGUGGGGAUGACGUCAAGUCAUCAUGGCCCUUACGAGUAGGGCUACACACGUGCUACAAUGGCGCAUACAAAGAGAAGCGACCUCGCGAGAGCAAGCGGACCUCAUAAAGUGCGUCGUAGUCCGGAUUGGAGUCUGCAACUCGACUCCAUGACGUCGGAAUCGCUAGUAAUCGUAGAUCAGAAUGCUACGGUGAAUACGUUCCCGGGUCUUGUACACACCG
Molecule: ribosomal RNA, 438 nt
Filed under: uncultured bacterium
Lineage: Bacteria
Description: bacterial SSU rRNA
Rfam family: Bacterial small subunit ribosomal RNA
Source: RNAcentral